RNAcentral lists this ribosomal RNA (494 nucleotides) under uncultured bacterium. RNAcentral describes it as "partial 16S ribosomal RNA". It matches the Rfam family "Bacterial small subunit ribosomal RNA", at positions 28 to 507 of the family's 1533-position model. The record is from RNAcentral.
GACGAACGCUGGCGGCGCGCUUAACACAUGCAAGUCGAACGGAAAGGCCUGCUUUCCCUUGUGGAUUGCGGGUACUCGAGUGGCGAACGGGUGAGUAACACGUGAGUGAUCUGCCCCCAACUUGGGUAUAAGCCUGGGAAACUGGGUCUAAUUCCCGAUAGGACUGCAGGGUGGUGCCUGUGGUGGAAAACGAUUUUCUAGUGGUUAGGGAUGAGCUCGCGGCCUAUCAGCUUGUUGGUGGGGUAAUGGCCUACCAAGGCGGCGACGGGUAGCCGGCCUGAGAGGGUGGACGGCCACAUUGGGACUGAGAUACGGCCCAGACUCCUACGGGAGGCAGCAGUGGGGAAUAUUGCACAAUGGGCGGAAGCCUGAUGCAGCGACGCCGCGUGGGGGAUGACGGCCUUCGGGUUGUAAACUCGUUUCGACCGCGAGGAAGCCACCUGGUUGGAAGGGUGGUGACGGUAGUGGUAGAAGAAGCACCGGCUAACUACGUG